GGGAUUGUGGCUCAGUGGUAGAGCACUUGCCUUGCAUGCAGGAGGCAGGAGGCCCUGGGUUCAAUCCUCAGCACCA
This 76-nucleotide transfer RNA is filed under the name Ictidomys tridecemlineatus (thirteen-lined ground squirrel). RNAcentral's name for it is "Spermophilus tridecemlineatus (thirteen-lined ground squirrel) tRNA". It matches the Rfam family "tRNA". From Rfam's summary of the family: Transfer RNA (tRNA) molecules are approximately 80 nucleotides in length. Their secondary structure includes four short double-helical elements and three loops (D, anti-codon, and T loops). The record is from Rfam by way of RNAcentral. Lineage: Eukaryota; Metazoa; Chordata; Mammalia; Rodentia; Sciuridae.